CAAUAGCGUAUAUUUAAGUUGCUGCAGUUAAAAAGCUCGUAGUUGGAUUUCGGGGGGGAAUGGCCGGUCCGCCGUUUCGGUGUGCACUUGCUACGCCCACCUUGCUGCCGGGGACGUGCUCUUGAGUUCACGCUCGGGACACGGAGUCGGCGAGGUUACUUUGAGUAAAUUAGAGUGUUCAAAGCAGGCCUACGCUCUGAAUACAUUAGCAUGGAAUAACACGAUAGGACUCUGGCCUAUCUUGUUGGUCUGUAGGACCGGAGUAAUGAUUAAGAGGGACAGUCGGGGGCAUUCGUAUUUCAUUGUCAGAGGUGAAAUUCUUGGAUUUAUGAAAGACGAACUACUGCGAAAGCAUUUGCCAAGGAUGUUUUCAUUAA
RNAcentral lists this ribosomal RNA (377 nucleotides) under uncultured eukaryote. RNAcentral describes it as "partial 18S ribosomal RNA". It matches the Rfam family "Eukaryotic small subunit ribosomal RNA", at positions 592 to 976 of the family's 1831-position model. The record is from RNAcentral.